AUGACGGCCACCAUUGCCCUGCCGUCGGGCGUGGGCACCGGGAUGGCCUUGUGGAUCAGGGUGUCCUUGUGGUGGAUCAGGGCGUUUGAGGUGGACACUGAGACCGGCAGGUGUACUCUCGACGCGGUCGGCGAGGGGGAGCGCCGCGACGGGGGGCAGAAGUGCGCUCCCAUCAGGGCCCCUCCUGCUGCCGUGCACAACGAAGAGGAACGGAGAGUGGAGGCGCCGGCGGCAGCCGUGGAGGGCGCUAGGCGCCAAGGUGCCUACAGGGGGGCCGGGGAGGGCGGAUGCGGAGAAGAGGCCGAGAGGGCCGGAGGUAGAGGGGGAGCCAGAGCCAGGGCAGGGGAGGGAGACGCCGAAAGAGCCGACGGGAGGGGAGGGGCAGCCGUCGGGUCGGUUGGGCGUGUGACGACGGCAGUUCGGUGGCUGAUGUACAGUACUGCACGGAGAGUAGCUGACUCAUCGGCGGGGUCCUGCUGCUACAGAGUUGGUCGGGCGUGUGACGGCGGUAGUUUGGAGCUCCAUAAGGCGGCGCCAUUGCUGUGGUGGGGGGAGCUAUUGCUUCCUGUUCAAGAUAGAAAAGAGAGGGUGAGGGGAGAGAUGAGACCAUGGAUAAAAGCUAAGAGAAGCACGGGGCUCAGGCUCCCACAUGUCAUCACUUGUCGUUCCUCAUCUAUCCUCACGUGCCUCGUCGUUGUAGCCGGCUCACCGAUACCAACAACCACUAUUGUAACCUAUUGUCGAAGCAGCCGACAUUGUUGCAUCCAGCUCGCUACGAACCAUCACUGGCAUGAUAAUUUGCUAGGAUCUGAAGUCUCGAUUUUGAUUAUUGUAGGAUGGAAAAGAAGGCUCGUGUAUGUUGCAGUUGCUAAGCAAAUGACCGAGCAGUGGACGUGUGUAUGCCCGUGCAAGGCGGCUGCUGCCCAGCUGUUUACAGAAGGAAUAGCUCCCCCCACCGCAGCAAUGGCGCCGCCUCAUGGAGCUUCGAACUACCGCCGUCACACGCCCGACCGACUCUGUAGCAGCAGGACCCCGCCGAUGAGUCAGCUACUCUCCGUGCGGUACUGUGCAUCGGCCGCCGAACUGCCGCCGUCACACGCCCAACCGACCCUGCAUGUCGUCACAACAAUGGCCUCGACUGCCUCUCGUCGCCUCCUUCUCUUCGUUCCUCGUCCGGUGGAGAUUGGCAGAUUUUUAGCAGAUUUUUGGGGCACUGCGCAGCGGAUGGCCGGACGGGCUGAGGCCCAAGUAGCAAUGCUUCAGCCACGUGAGACGGUCUCAGGGCAAGGCCCAAAACACAUCGGGAAGAAGCGAGACACGGAAAGAAUGAAUCACGAAGAUGGCGCUGAUGCUUGGGGUUCUCAAAGGCCAGAAACGCCCCCUUGGCAUGCAUCAGAGUAUAGUCAACUCAUCUCUGUAGGGCCGUUGCUGCCACUACUAGAACAGUAUGCAGGCGUAGGUUCUUAUGACCAAAACACUCUUAGGGGGACCCCGUGGCAAGUUCAGUCACAAGGCGCUAACACUGACAAAUGUACGGGCAGCCAACUUCAACUAGCUAGUAUGGCUAAUCAAGGGCCUACAACUACACUGAACAGCAGUGUGGGGACAUCUACUGCGGGGAGCUCUGAGCGCAUGGAAGACGCGUUCCACCAGCCAGCAGACAAUCAUGCCGCAAACAAUUUCGAAUGGAACUGCCCCGAUACUGAAGUGAAUGAUGAAACUGACGAUGACGCACAAGGGGAUAAUGGUGGGCAAUCAGAGAUCGUGGUACCUCAGCCACCGUACAUUGGGCAGAGAUUUGAAUCGUUCGAAGAAGCAAAGGAAUACUACCAGACAUAUGCAAAGUUCCAUGGAUUUGCGGUCAACACCGAGUACCAUAGGAAAAUUAAGAAAACUAACGAGUACAACAGAGGUGAGAUGAGGUGCCACAAGGCACGGAGGAACAAGAAGGGGAAAGGUGUUGCGCCUGUCGUUCCGGAACGAAAGAGAGGUAUCAUUCUCAAGACUGAGUGCCCUGUCCGGUGUAAGCUAAACGUAGAUGGAGCACAGUGGGUGGUCAAUGAAUAUUUUGACGAGCACAACCACCAACUCAUAAAGAAGUUCGACCUGGUAAAAUUUCUGACCGCCCACAGAGGGUUCACCCCCGUCGAAAGGCAAUUCGUAAAGCUGCUACAUGAUUGUAACGUCGGUCCAUCAAGAAUGGUACAGAUGCUAUCUCUCAUCCACAGCAAAAAGGGGACUCUGAGUAGCAUGCCGUACAUACCAGCUGACGUCACAAACCUACAGGCCAAGUACCGUAGAGAGAGCAAGUUGGCAGACAUAGAGGCCACAAUGGCCUACUUCGAUGAGAAAGCGAAGGAAGAUCCAGAUUUCUUCUACAUGAUAAGGUUGGACGAUGAGGACCGUGUCAAGAACAUGUAUUGGGUGGAUGGUGCUGCAAGGAGAGCCUACAAACAUUUCCGAGAUAGCAUUUCAUUUGACGCAACGUACCUCACCAAUAUGUACAAGAUGCCAUGCGCUCCGUUCAUAGGAAUAAAUAACCACAAUCAGUCGUUGCAGUUCGGCUGCGGGCUCGUCCGGAACGAAGACACGGAUGGGUACGUUUGGUUGUUCAAGACCUUCUUGGAGUGCAUGGAUGGACUUGCUCCGAUGAACAUAAUAACAUACCAAAAUUUCAGCAUGCGUGCAGGCAUAGAGGAGGUCUUUCCGUUGGCAGUGCACAGGCACUGCAGGUGGCACAUUAUAAAGAAGGCUGAGGAGACGCUAGGACCGUUCUUUGCUGACCGUCCAGAGCUGCACAAGGCAUUCGAGCUGUGCGUGGACCACAGCUUGACGGUGGAGGAGUUUGAAAGGAGCUGGAUGGCCAUGACUGAAACACAUCAAGUCCAAGACAAUGAGACUCUUGUUAGCCUGUGGGAGAAGCAAAUGUACUGGGUGCCGGCCUACUUCAUGCAGUGCUUCUUCCCCUUUCUGCAGACUACGCAACGCAGCGAGGGGUUCAAUGUUGUUUUGAAGCGGUACGUCAGCCCUAGCAACUCAUUGCUACAGUUUGCCAAGCAGUACAUAGCUUUGCAACACAAAAUUUUGGGAUCUGCGCUACAGCAAGAAGCGACAACGGCACUAAAGUAG
RNAcentral lists this ribosomal RNA (3129 nucleotides) under Triticum aestivum (bread wheat). Its description in RNAcentral is "partial small subunit ribosomal RNA". Lineage: Eukaryota; Viridiplantae; Streptophyta; Magnoliopsida; Poales; Poaceae. The record is from RNAcentral.